RNAcentral lists this ribosomal RNA (459 nucleotides) under uncultured bacterium. RNAcentral describes it as "partial 16S ribosomal RNA". It matches the Rfam family "Bacterial small subunit ribosomal RNA", at positions 338 to 795 of the family's 1533-position model. The record is from RNAcentral.
CCUACGGGGGGCAGCAGUGAGGAAUAUUGGUCAAUGGUCGGGAGACUGAACCAGCCAAGCCGCGUGAGGGAUGAAGGUACAGAGUAUCGUAAACCUCUUUUGUCAGGGAACAAAGGCGGGGACGUGUCCCCGGAUGAGUGUACCUGAAGAAAAAGCAUCGGCUAACUCCGUGCCAGCAGCCGCGGUAAUACGGAGGAUGCGAGCGUUAUCCGGAUUUAUUGGGUUUAAAGGGUGCGCAGGCGGUCUGUUAAGUCAGCGGUAAAAGCCCGGGGCUCAACCCCGGCCCGCCGUUGAAACUGGCAGUCUCGAGUUGGAGAGAAGUAGGCGGAAUGCGCGGUGUAGCGGUGAAAUGCAUAGAUAUCGCGAAGAACUCCGAUUGCGAAGGCAGCAUGCCGGCUCCACACUGACGCUGAGGCACGAAAGCGUGGGUAUCGAACAGGAUUAGAUACCCUUGUAGUC